GAUGAACGCUAGCGGCAGGCCUAACACAUGCAAGUCGAGGGGGAGGUUACUUUCGGGUAACUGAGACCGGCGUACGGGUGCGUAACGCGUAUACANUCUGCCUUUCACUGGGGGAUAGCCCGAGGAAAUUUGGAUUAAUACCCCAUAGUAUAGUAGUGUGGCAUCACACAACUAUUAAAGCCUUGGUGGUGAAAGAUGAGUAUGCGUUCUAUUAGCUAGUUGGAGAGGUAACGGCUCCCCAAGGCGAUGAUAGAUAGGGGUUCUGAGAGGGAUGUCCCCCACACUGGUACUGAGAUACGGACCAGACUCCUACGGGAGGCAGCAGUGAGGAAUAUUGGACAAUGGUCGGAAGGCUGAUCCAGCCAUGCCGCGUGCAGGAUGAAGGUCUUAUGGAUUGUAAACUGCUUUUGUAAGGGAAGAAUAAGGACUACGUGUAGUUUGAUGACGGUACCUUAUGAAUAAGCAUCGGCUAACUCCGUGCCAGCAGCCGCGGUAAUACGGAGGAUGCGAGCGUUAUCCGGAAUCAUUGGGUUUAAAGGGUCUGUAGGCGGGCUGGUAAGUCAGAGGUGAAAGCGCUCAGCUCAACUGAGCAACUGCCUUUGAAACUGUUGGUCUUGAAUGGUUGUGAAGUAGUUGGAAUGUGUAGUGUAGCGGUGAAAUGCUUAGAUAUUACACAGAACACCGAUAGCGAAGGCAUAUUACUAACAAUUGAUUGACGCUGAUGGACGAAAGCGUNNNGAGCGAACAGG
Molecule: ribosomal RNA, 749 nt
Filed under: Capnocytophaga ochracea
Lineage: Bacteria; Pseudomonadati; Bacteroidota; Flavobacteriia; Flavobacteriales; Flavobacteriaceae
Description: bacterial SSU rRNA
Rfam family: Bacterial small subunit ribosomal RNA
Source: RNAcentral